CCGACCUUAGCUCAGUUGGUAGAGCGGAGGACUGUAGUCGGUAAACCCGCAGAGAAUCCUUAGGUCGCUGGUUCGAAUCCGGCAGGUCGGA
Molecule: transfer RNA, 91 nt
Filed under: Nicotiana attenuata
Lineage: Eukaryota; Viridiplantae; Streptophyta; Magnoliopsida; Solanales; Solanaceae
Description: tRNA tRNA-Tyr
Rfam family: tRNA
About the family: Transfer RNA (tRNA) molecules are approximately 80 nucleotides in length. Their secondary structure includes four short double-helical elements and three loops (D, anti-codon, and T loops).
Source: Rfam by way of RNAcentral